RNAcentral lists this ribosomal RNA (1147 nucleotides) under marine bacterium AK14_006. Its description in RNAcentral is "bacterial SSU rRNA". It matches the Rfam family "Bacterial small subunit ribosomal RNA", at positions 66 to 1225 of the family's 1533-position model. The record is from RNAcentral.
GUGAAAGCGGGUGCUUGCACUCGUGGAUCAGUGGCGAACGGGUGAGUAACACGUGAGUAACCUGCCCUCCACUCUGGGAUAAGCGCUGGAAACGGCGUCUAAUACUGGAUACGACCAACCCUCGCAUGGGGUGUUGGUGGAAAGAUUUAUCGGUGGUGGAUGGACUCGCGGCCUAUCAGCUUGUUGGUGGGGUAAUGGCCUACCAAGGCGACGACGGGUAGCCGGCCUGAGAGGGCGACCGGCCACACUGGGACUGAGACACGGCCCAGACUCCUACGGGAGGCAGCAGUGGGGAAUAUUGCACAAUGGGCGAAAGCCUGAUGCAGCGACGCCGCGUGAGGGAUGACGGCCUUCGGGUUGUAAACCUCUUUCAGCAGGGAAGAAGCUUUUGUGACGGUACCUGCAGAAGAAGCACCGGCUAACUACGUGCCAGCAGCCGCGGUAAUACGUAGGGUGCGAGCGUUGUCCGGAAUUAUUGGGCGUAAAGAGCUUGUAGGCGGUUUGUCGCGUCUGCUGUGAAAAUUCAGGGCUUAACCCUGGACGUGCAGUGGGUACGGGCAGACUAGAGUGUGGUAGGGGAGACUGGAAUUCCUGGUGUAGCGGUGGAAUGCGCAGAUAUCAGGAGGAACACCGAUGGCGAAGGCAGGUCUCUGGGCCAUUACUGACGCUGAGAAGCGAAAGCAUGGGGAGCGAACAGGAUUAGAUACCCUGGUAGUCCAUGCCGUAAACGUUGGGCGCUAGGCGUGGGUCUCAUUCCACGAGAUCCGUGUCGCAGCUAACGCAUUAAGCGCCCCGCCUGGGGAGUACGGCCGCAAGGCUAAAACUCAAAGGAAUUGACGGGGGCCCGCACAAGCGGCGGAGCAUGCUGAUUAAUUCGAUGCAACGCGAAGAACCUUACCAAGGCUUGACAUGCACCGGAUCGCCUCAGAAAUGGGGUUUCCCUUUGGGCUGGUGCACAGGUGGUGCAUGGUUGUCGUCAGCUCGUGUCGUGAGAUGUUGGGUUAAGUCCCGCAACGAGCGCAACCCUCGUUCUAUGUUGCCAGCACGUGAUGGUGGGGACUCAUAGGAGACUGCCGGGGUCAACUCGGAGGAAGGUGGGGAUGACGUCAAAUCAUCAUGCCCCUUAUGUCUUGGGCUUCAAGCAUGC